AUUGAACGCUGGCGGCAUGCCUUACACAUGCAAGUCGAACGGUAACAGGUCUUCGGAUGCUGACGAGUGGCGAACGGGUGAGUAAUACAUCGGAACGUGCCCGAUCGUGGGGGAUAACGGCAGCGAAAGCUGUGCUAAUACCGCAUACGAUCUACGGGAUGGAAAGCGGGGAUCGCAAGACCUCGCGCGGACGGAGCGGCCGAUGGCAGAUUAGGUAGUUGGUGGGAUAAAAAGCUUACCAAGCCGACGAUCUGUAGCUGGUCUGAGAGGACGACCAGCCACACUGGGACUGAGACACGGCCCAGACUCCUACGGGAGGCAGCAGUGGGGAAUUUUGGACAAUGGGCGCAAGCCUGAUCCAGCCAUGCCGCGUGCAGGAUGAAGGCCUCGGGUUGUAAACUGCUUUUGUUACGGAACGAAAAAGACUCUCUCUAAUACAGGGGUGGAAUGACGGUACCGUAAGAAUAAGACACCGGCUAACUACGUGCCAGCAGCCGCGGUAA
RNAcentral lists this ribosomal RNA (503 nucleotides) under uncultured bacterium. RNAcentral's name for it is "bacterial SSU rRNA". It matches the Rfam family "Bacterial small subunit ribosomal RNA", at positions 30 to 523 of the family's 1533-position model. The record is from RNAcentral.